CGACACCUGCAGGAUUCGAACCUACGCACCCGAAAGUAAUGCCUGUGUAACUUACGUAAGCAAGGUAGCAGGGCACCGCCUUAACCACUCGGCCAAAGUGUC
Molecule: transfer RNA, 102 nt
Filed under: Metarhizium brunneum
Lineage: Eukaryota; Fungi; Ascomycota; Sordariomycetes; Hypocreales; Clavicipitaceae
Description: tRNA-Ser
Source: RNAcentral